CACGAGCAAUCCAACAUUUUUACUGCCACCAGGAGGACAAGGAAGGGGCUUUGCUUUACAGCAUGAAGUACAUAACUGAAGUCAUGACUAAAUGAAAGGAACAGCACGCAUCUGUUUAUGGCAAUGGGUCAGAUCUUCACUACUCAGAUUGCCUACUCAUCUGUAGCUCAAAAGGAGCUAAGCAGGCAAUCCUCUCCUGCCUUUUGCCUCUUCAGUGCAUGCAGUCAGCCCUUCAAGAGAAGACAGAAAAAUUAGCACAGUGCUGCAGCACUCCUGGUAGGCUUCUGUCAACAGCAAAGGCAUCCUACACUGAACACAUACCCCAUCUUCCUAGCUCAGCCACAGCAGCCAAGCAGAGAGAGGACAAAACGCUGCACAUCUCUUGUUCAGAAACAUCUCCCUCAGCAGCUCCUGAGCAGUAGGAAGUUGUCCAGUGUUCACCAGCACUCAUGCAUCAGAAAAGAUGGCAUGGAGAUGCCUAUAUUCCUCCCAGUACAGCUGUUGGACCAUCACUUGAUUUAUACUGCACAUCAUCAUGCCCAGAUGGGAUGUGUCCAUCUCUCAGGCUGCAUGAGGACACCAAGACCCUUCAGGACCUAUGCACUGCUCCACCUCUGCAGAGUCCUUGGUCCCUCUGAAGCAUGGGCUGCAAUUGAAGAACAGUCAGGUGUGCAGAGCAGUCCCUUCAGAAGCCCCCAUGGGAUUUAGGACUUGGGAACCCCUGCUGCAAACAAAUGAAGGCUGAGGCUUGGGCCAUCUGAGUAGAGUUCUUAGAAGUCAGAUGUGCUGCAAAAGUCAUUUAGCAAUAACCCUGUGGCAAGUACAAAGGAAGAGCAUCUUAGCACUGAAUUAUUUUGGGGAGAAAGUACUUAAAAUUUGCACUAGAAACUUUUCCUUCUAGGAUGUUUUAAUCUUAGAGCAAUGCUAAUCUUAAGAUCUCAAGACAAGAAUACUGAUCUACUUUCAUUUUCUAUUUGAAAAACAUUGUUACUUGAAGAAAAACUUUCAGGCAUAAUUUUAAGUACUUAACAAUAUUGUGUUAAUGGUCAUUAUGAAGAAAGAUGCUCCAAAUACAUUGUGUAUUUUCGUCAGUGUCUGAUUCUCUGCUAGUGAUAAAGCUUUCUUAAUACAGCUUAGUAAUAUUGUGUAAAGGGAUUCAGGGGCACUUGACAGAAUACACAAAGUGUAUGGUUAUAUGUGAUGCGUAGUAUUGCACAGAAUUUUCCAAGCCUCAUAAAUGCUGUGACUCCUUUCUUCAAGAUUUACUUGUCUAGCAAUUUUGAAGCUGCCUUUAUCCCUGUGUAAUGGCUGCAGAAGUCUCUGCCAAAGAGGAAGGUGAAUAGGCUCUAGGAUCAGCUUGGACAAUUUACAUGACUUUCUAGUAUGUAUGGUGUGUUCUCCCAGGGUUUUCAGGGUGAUUGUGCCCAUUUAUUUUUCUCCAGUGAAAAUAUUCAUCUUUUGGAUGGAGAGAAACUCAGUGUUCAUGCAGCAGAAAUAAAUAGGCAGGCAAAGCUGUGUCUUGAUGAAGC
This 1529-nucleotide long non-coding RNA is filed under the name Numida meleagris (helmeted guineafowl). RNAcentral describes it as "lncRNA (ENSNMEG00000019046.1)". Lineage: Eukaryota; Metazoa; Chordata; Aves; Galliformes; Numididae. The record is from RNAcentral.